Molecule: unclassified non-coding RNA, 240 nt
Filed under: soil metagenome
Description: partial contains 5.8S ribosomal RNA, internal transcribed spacer 2, and large subunit ribosomal RNA
Source: RNAcentral
AACGCACGAGACCUGCGGACCUGCGGAGGGAUCAUUAAUGAGAAACUGCCCCUCGCGGGUAGAUCUCUCACCCUUUGUAAACUUACCUUUGUUGCUUUGGCAGGCCCGUCUCCGGACCGCCGGCUUCGGCUGGCCAGUGCCUGCCAGAGGAUUCUAAAACUCUGUCUGUCAGUGUUGUCUGAGUCUAUAUACAAUCGUUAAAACUUUCAGCAACGGAUCUCUAGAUCGGAAGAGCACACG